CAGUCGCCGCGGUAAAACGGAGGGUGCGAGCGUUGUCCGGAUUUAUUGGGUUUAAAGGGUGCGUAGGUGGCUUUUUAAGUCAGUGGUGAAAUACAGCCGCUCAACGGUUGAGGUGCCAUUGAUACUGAAGAGCUUGAAACAAGUGGAGGCUGCCGGAAUGGAUGGUGUAGCGGUGAAAUGCAUAGAUAUCAUCCAGAACACCGAUUGCGAAGGCAGGUGGCUACGUUUGAUUUGACACUGAGGCACGAAAGCAUGGGGAGCAAACAGGAUUAGAUACCCGCGUAGUCCCUGUCUCUUAUAC
This 301-nucleotide ribosomal RNA is filed under the name uncultured bacterium. RNAcentral's name for it is "partial 16S ribosomal RNA". It matches the Rfam family "Bacterial small subunit ribosomal RNA", at positions 509 to 807 of the family's 1533-position model. The record is from RNAcentral.